GAUGACCCCUCAGUGUCCUUUCCAGAAACUCUUGAAAAUUUUGCGUCAUCUCAUGAAUUAUCUAGUCUCUUAACUCAGCACUAGAGGGAGCAAGACCGCAGAAGAAAAUCUACAAAAUGUGAGCUUCACAAUUGUUACAAAGGGUUGAAAAUUAAGAAAAAAAUGAGAAAAGGUGGCUGAAAGGUGGUAGAAUGUGCGACAGCAUGUGAAGGUUUUGUGACAUGAAUAUGUUGAUGUGAUGUACCCAUUCAAGUCCUUCUCAACUCCUGGGGUGCUACUGCCUU
Long non-coding RNA from Tupaia belangeri chinensis (Chinese tree shrew), 284 nucleotides. RefSeq lists it as uncharacterized. The record is from RefSeq and is a predicted model, not a curated record. The transcript is spliced from 3 exons. NCBI's taxonomy places the organism in Eukaryota, Metazoa, Chordata, Mammalia, Scandentia, Tupaiidae.